RNAcentral lists this long non-coding RNA (809 nucleotides) under Bos taurus (domestic cattle). RNAcentral describes it as "long non-coding RNA NONBTAT022143". The record is from RNAcentral. Lineage: Eukaryota; Metazoa; Chordata; Mammalia; Artiodactyla; Bovidae.
ACUCUGAUGUCAUUCACAUAUUUCCUUUCCUCUGUCAGUUUCUCUCAUUUUUGCUUUUCUGUUAUGGCUGAAAAAUGUGCGUAGAUGCUCUUUCCAAUGUUGACGUGUUAAUAAAAUCAAGACUUCUGAAUGUGGCAUUAUCCUGAUAAUCUAAAACACAUUAGUGGUAGCAAGUGUUCCUGUUAUUAAUUUAUAUUUGGUCUUUGGAUGAUGCCAGCUUAACAGUCCGAGCCCUGUAACUGUCCUCAUUUGACACGCUGGUAUUUACUGCUUCCCUAUACAUCUGUAACAGGUGUGCUUUAUGGCAAUUUACAGAGACACAUUCUACUGCCUCUCUGCAACUAUGACAGCUAUUUCACAACCGCAGCCUUAAUUUUAUAAUAAGAUUUAAAAGGAGAAAGCAGUCACUAAACACAAAAGGCUAAUUAUUGUACGUUAUUUCACCCCAACAGACUUUUCUCUUAGUUAAGGAGCAGACAAUAAAUUAGCUUAACUGCACUGAUGAUAAUGAAUCAUUAUAAUUAAGUAUAAUUCUCCAUUAACCUUUUGGAGGUUUUUGUGCCAUUGAUGGUAAAUUUUAAAGAGAAGGAGAGCAGAAAGAGUGGACUUGGCCACAUUAAUUAUACUAACGAAAAAAGAAUCUUACUUCUUAAAAAAAAUUAGGGGAGAGUGGGGAGCGCAGCGGUCAGUAAAGAGUGACAGUCUUAGUGGAGUGUAUGUCAUCAGAACUGUCUCUAUCAAUCUUAGUAACCUUAUUGGACAUCACCUUCAUUAAACUGCGAAACACUGGGGACUCCGAGUAGCUACAG